CCUACGGGAGGCAGCAGUAAGGAAUAUUGGUCAAUGGACGAAAGUCUGAACCAGCCAUGCCGCGUGAAGGAUUAAGGCCCUCUGGGUUGUAAACUUCUUUUAUCUGGGACGAAAAAAGGGUAUUCUUACUCACUUGACGGUACCAGAGGAAUAAGCACCGGCUAACUCCGUGCCAGCAGCCGCGGUAAUACGGAGGGUGCAAGCGUUAUCCGGAUUUACUGGGUUUAAAGGGUGCGUAGGUGGGCUUGUAAGUCAGUGGUGAAAUCUCCGGGCUUAACCCGGAAACUGCCAUUGAUACUAUAGGUCUUGAAUUAUCUGGAGGUAAGCGGAAUAUGUCAUGUAGCGGUGAAAUGCUUAGAUAUGACAUAGAACACCAAUUGCGAAGGCAGCUUACUACGGAUAUAUUGACACUGAGGCACGAAAGCGUGGGGAUCAAACAGGAUUAGAUACCCUGGUAGUCCACGCCCUAAACGAUGGAUACUCGACAUCAGCGAUACACUGUUGGUGUCUGAGCGAAAGCAUUAAGUAUCCCACCUGGGAAGUACGAUCGCAAGAUUGAAACUCAAAGGAAUUGACGG
This 578-nucleotide ribosomal RNA is filed under the name uncultured bacterium. Its description in RNAcentral is "bacterial SSU rRNA". It matches the Rfam family "Bacterial small subunit ribosomal RNA", at positions 338 to 916 of the family's 1533-position model. The record is from RNAcentral.